CACACCGCCCGUCACACCAUGGGAGUUGGCUUUACCUGAAGCCGGUGCGCUAACCCGCAAGGGAGGCAGCCGACCACGGUGGGAUCAGCGACUGGGGUG
Molecule: ribosomal RNA, 99 nt
Filed under: uncultured bacterium
Lineage: Bacteria
Description: partial 16S ribosomal RNA
Rfam family: Bacterial small subunit ribosomal RNA
Source: RNAcentral